This 433-nucleotide ribosomal RNA is filed under the name uncultured bacterium. RNAcentral's name for it is "partial 16S ribosomal RNA". It matches the Rfam family "Bacterial small subunit ribosomal RNA", at positions 29 to 507 of the family's 1533-position model. The record is from RNAcentral.
AGCGAACGCUGGCGGCAGGCCUAACACAUGCAAGUCGAACGAACUCUUCGGAGUUAGUGGCGCACGGGUGAGUAACACGUGGGAACGUGCCCUUUGGUUCGGAAUAACUCAGGGAAACUUGUGCUAAUACCGAAUGUGCCCUUCGGGGGAAAGAUUUAUCGCCAUUAGAGCGGCCCGCGUCUGAUUAGCUAGUUGGUGAGGUAACGGCUCACCAAGGCGACGAUCAGUAGCUGGUCUGAGAGGAUGACCAGCCACACUGGGACUGAGACACGGCCCAGACUCCUACGGGAGGCAGCAGUGGGGAAUCUUGCGCAAUGGGCGAAAGCCUGACGCAGCCAUGCCGCGUGAAUGAUGAAGGUCUUAGGAUUGUAAAAUUCUUUCACCGGGGACGAUAAUGACGGUACCCGGAGAAGAAGCCCCGGCUAACUUCGUG